This 411-nucleotide ribosomal RNA is filed under the name bacterium E-2-0-5C. RNAcentral describes it as "bacterial SSU rRNA". It matches the Rfam family "Bacterial small subunit ribosomal RNA", at positions 372 to 775 of the family's 1533-position model. The record is from RNAcentral.
UGGGCGCAAGCCUGAUGCAGCCAUGCCGCGUGUAUGAAGAAGGCCUUCGGGUUGUAAAGUACUUUCAGCGAGGAGGAAGGCGUUGUGGUUAAUAACCGCAGCGAUUGACGUUACUCGCAGAAGAAGCACCGGCUAACUCCGUGCCAGCAGCCGCGGUAAUACGGAGGGUGCAAGCGUUAAUCGGAAUUACUGGGCGUAAAGCGCACGCAGGCGGUCUGUCAAGUCGGAUGUGAAAUCCCCGGGCUCAACCUGGGAACUGCAUUCGAAACUGGCAGGCUAGAGUCUUGUAGAGGGGGGUAGAAUGCCAGGUGUAGCGGUGAAAUGCGUAGAGAUCUGGAGGAAUACCGGUGGCGAAGGCGGCCCCCUGGACAAAGACUGACGCUCAGGUGCGAAAGCGUGGGGAGCAAACAG